Molecule: transfer RNA, 62 nt
Filed under: Nycteribia allotopa
Lineage: Eukaryota; Metazoa; Arthropoda; Insecta; Diptera; Nycteribiidae
Description: tRNA-Phe
Source: RNAcentral
AUUCAAAUAGCUUAAAUAGAGUAUAAUAUUGAAAAUAUUAAGGUGAUAAAAAUCUUUGAAUA